Molecule: long non-coding RNA, 1846 nt
Organism: Anguilla anguilla (European eel)
Lineage: Eukaryota; Metazoa; Chordata; Actinopteri; Anguilliformes; Anguillidae
Exons: 2
Source: RefSeq, a predicted model, not a curated record
GAAGAAGAGAAAGACGAAGAAGAAACGAGGGUAAAACAUGUGGCUGAUAAUGAUAAUCUUAAUAAUGAUGAGACUCAAAGGAACGGGACGGGGCCAGCCUUCGCCUCGUCCUCUCGCUCCUUCUGUCCCGCUGGAACGAAGGAGAGGGAAAGGAAAGGAGAGGAAGGCUGGAGACGAGGGGAUGGCGGGACGCUCUUCUCGAACCCGCGUCCCCGCGCUCAGCGCCUCAACGCUCCCGACUUUUUCGGUCUUCCGACGCGGAUCGAGAAACCGACCGAGGAACGAACAAAGAAAUGUUACAAUUUUAUUUUAUUUUUUGCUUAUUAAAACCCGAGCAUGUGAUUCACAUUAUUAUUAUUAUUAUUACUAUUGCCAUUAUUAAGCUGGGGAUAAUUUUUGCUCUUUUGAAGCGGCAAUAAUCAGCAGUUGUAAUUUUCCUCUGUUGUGUGAACUCGCGCAGAAACACCUUCUAUAGCCUUAAGGACGUGCCUUCCAUGACAAUUGAAUUAAAAUUGUCUGCCCUGAGCAAUCGUACCGCGACGGAUAUGAAUAUGAUUACGCGUGUUUCUGGGUUUUUGAACGUGGGGAAAAAUCUGGUCUUGAGGGGUUUUAUGCGAGUGGAAAUUGGCAAAAAAAAAUCCACUUAUUUGCAUAAAAUAGUUUUUUUUCCCCCCUUUUUUUCCUUUUAAUUUAUCAAAAUUUUCUAUUGAUUUUUUUCCCCCUAGAUUGAAGUCUUCCUUUAAACGGUAAAUAAAUGAAAUUUGUUCCUUUAAGGGUUCCCUCCACAAACCGCCAACUCUGUAAAACGCACAGACACGCAAUGAGCCCUUGGCUCGGUGCCACAACGGUUGCUGUUGGUUGUUAACGAGUCUGGUAACCAGGGUAACGGUUGCUGUUGGUUGUUAACGAGUCAGGUAACCAGGUAACGGUGGUUGGUUGUUAACGAGUCAGGUAACCAGGUAACGGUUGCUGUUGGUUGUUAACGAGUCGCUCGGUACCAGGUAACGGUUGCUGUUGGUUGUUAACGAGUCGGGUAACCAGGUAACGGUUGCUGUUGGUUGUUAACGAGUCGGGUAACCAGGUAACGGUUGCUGUUGGUUGUUAACGAGUCGGGUAACCAGGUAACGGUUGCUGUUGGUUGUUAACGAGUCUGGUAACCAGGUAACGGUUGCUGUUGGUUGUUAACGAGUCGGGUAACCAGGUAACGGUUGCUGUUGGUUGUUAACGAGUCGGGUAACCAGGUAACGGUUGCUGUUGGUUGUUAACGAGUCUGGUAACCAGGUAACGGUUGCUGUUGGUUGUUAACGAGUCUGGUAACCGGGUAACGGUUGCUGUUGGUUGUUAACGAGUCGGGCCUGGUUUUAGACCCUCAGUCUCGCAGUGUUUCCGUGGAAGGCACAACAGAGCUGCUAACGAACAAGUGUUUUAACCAAAAAAUAAAAUCCGUUGUUUCUUUCUUUUUUAAAUUUUAAUUAUUAUUAUUAUUAUUAUUAUUAUUAUUUUCUUUUCUUUUUUUUAAAUAACCCUGGCUGGUGUAUCCCCAUAUUGGAACCAAUUAAAUCCUACAACUGAAUAGGACUUUUGCCUUAAUUAUUAGAGUAAUGAUUGUUGUAUUUUAUUACUUUGUACUGUUCCUCUUAAGCCAUACUGGCUGGUUGAUUAAUUGAUGGGGAAAAAUGAGAGUAGAUGAACUGUAGAUAGGAUGAUAGAUGCAGAUAGCGAAUGUAACGUCGAUCUGUAGUAAAUAUUUGUAAAAAACAUAAACGAGUAAAAAAAUGCAUAAAUAAUAGUCCUUCUUCCAGGCCCACGCUUUUCAAUUGCUUUUUACUCCCCCCCCCCCCCCCCC